AUGCAUCUAUUGACAGGCCGCAAGUUUGACACUAGCUUUGCAGGUCAUUUUUACUGAGAUGCAAGAUUAAGUUUCUUUGCGCUUUCUGCCUGCCUUCCCUGUGGCAGCUCGGAUUGAAUAAAAGAACACAGUA
This is a small nucleolar RNA of Amblyraja radiata (thorny skate), 133 nucleotides long. RefSeq annotates it as small nucleolar RNA SNORA31. The record is from RefSeq and is a predicted model, not a curated record. The transcript has a single exon. Lineage: Eukaryota; Metazoa; Chordata; Chondrichthyes; Rajiformes; Rajidae.